Molecule: ribosomal RNA, 498 nt
Filed under: uncultured bacterium
Lineage: Bacteria
Description: partial 16S ribosomal RNA
Rfam family: Bacterial small subunit ribosomal RNA
Source: RNAcentral
GGAUGAACGUUGGCGGCGUGCCUAAUACAUGCAAGUCGAGCGAACGGACGAGAAGCUUGCUUCUCUGAUGUUAGCGGCGGACGGGUGAGUAACACGUGGAUAACCUACCUAUAAGACUGGGAUAACUUCGGGAAACCGGAGCUAAUACCGGAGAAUAUUUUGAACCGCAUGGUUCAAAAGUGAAAGACGGUCUUGCUGUCACUUAUAGAUGGAUCCGCGCUGCAUUAGCUAGUUGGUAAGGUAACGGCUUACCAAGGCAACGAUGCAUAGCCGACCUGAGAGGGUGAUCGGCCACACUGGAACUGAGACACGGUCCAGACUCCUACGGGAGGCAGCAGUAGGGAAUCUUCCGCAAUGGGCGAAAGCCUGACGGAGCAACGCCGCGUGAGUGAUGAAGGUCUUCGGAUCGUAAAACUCUGUUAUUAGGGAAGAACAAAUGUGUAAGUAACUAUGCACGUCUUGACGGUACCUAAUCAGAAAGCCACGGCUAACUACGUG